This is a non-coding RNA of Coturnix japonica (Japanese quail), 2894 nucleotides long. The record is from RefSeq and is a predicted model, not a curated record. NCBI's taxonomy places the organism in Eukaryota, Metazoa, Chordata, Aves, Galliformes, Phasianidae.
GCCACUCCUCAUAUAUCUUGUCCUCCAGACCCUUCCCCAUCUUUGUAGCCCUCCUUUGGAUUCUCUCUCACAGUUCUGUGUCCGUCUUAGACUGUGUUGCACAGAGCUGCACGCAGUGCCGGAGCUGAGGCCACAGAGCACAGUGGGACAAACCCCUUCCCUCACCCAGCUGACACUGUGGGCCUCCCACACCCAAGGCCCUAGAGUUUUGUUUUCAAACAAGAUCUACAGAAAUCUAUUAAAGCACCUUAAAACUUGUGUAGCAUGGAAAGUGGUAGGUGUUAAAAGUGUGCUGAUGCUUCUGAGAGGUGGUGACACACAGCUUCAGGAUGCUCAAUAGCAGCACAGAGACACAUCUCCAGGGCAGGCGGAUGUGUGCUGGCCCCACCUGAGAGCGACCUCACCACGAGGGGUCAUUUUGGCCGAACAAAGCAGCUUUUUCUUUACUUUCCCCUCUCUCUUGCCAACCUCCGUCUAAAUUUGCUUCUGCCACUUCAGCGGUGGUUCUGGAUUAUCUGAAAUGUACACUGAAUUAAUCUCUCCUUAGAAAAGCAAUCAGAACAGUAAUCUUUGACUCACUGGGCUGGCUCUGUUGAGCAUUUUGCAGGGAAGGAAUUACACCUCCGUCCUUCCUUGUGGGGAGCACCCGGGGAUGUUCCCGUGUCUGCACUGCGUGCUAUUGCCAUGACCGCUCUUCUGUCUGAGAUGCAGAAGGAUUCAGCCUCUCUGGGAAACCUUCCUCCGGGCAUGUGCCACCUCCAGAGUGUGCUACAGCAUGAGUUCAUGGUAGAAGUUCAGCAGUGGAGUUGCUGAAGAUGGCCAGUUUUGUUCCAUGGCUGGUAGGACUCAUGGAGUAACCCGGGUCAGGCAGCGCCUCCAAAGGUCUCUAGUCCAGCCCCAGCAGAUCUGGCUGAUUGCUCAUGGCCUUCUCAAGUCAAGCUUGGAACACCUCCAAGGUUACGGAACCUGCAGCCUCUGCUUCAGCGCUUUUGUUUUCCCUUGUGCUGUAUCAGUUUCCCCUUUCCUAACCUGUACUUGCUGCCCUUUGUCAUACCCCAACGGAACUCACUGAAGAGCCUGGCUGAACCACCUCUUCACCUCCUCAGUGGAUACCUGGAGACAGUAAUUAGAUCUUUUUAUCUUAAGGCCCUUCAUCCUCUCACAGCCUGCCUUGAUAGGCUCUUUUUGCUCCAGAAUAUACUGUAUUUUUAUAAAACAUGGAGAUGUUUUUCAUAUCUUCCAAAUGGCCUACAUGGACAUACUGAGCUGCCCUGGCCAAGGCAAUAUGUCCAUUAAUCCAGGCAGAGGGAGAGGCCACAUGUAAGAAGCUGUUUGGAAGGCAACCCCCAUCCCACAAUGAGCCAUGACAUAGCAGCAGAUUUCUUCUUAGAAGAAUCAGUGCUUCUGGGCCUGCCUGACCCUGUGAUUCCUCUGUGAUGUGUUGGUGUAAAGGGCCUCAAGCCGCAAAGCAUUCCACAGCUUCCUCUUCUCCUUCGUGUGGGCUGCAUUGGCUUGGUGUGUGCCUGCAAUGCAGUCAUGUGGACAGUCUUUGCCAAAGCCCUGCGACUGUCCUCCUCCUCAGCCUCUGCCUCCGUGACCACAACAGCCUCCAACUUCAUCUCUUCGGCCAUCCUGGGCAAGCUUCUCUUUGGGGAGACAUGGACACCACUGUGGUGGAUUGGCCUCACUGUGACGCUGUGUGGCCUCAUGCUGCUGCAUACUGCUGCACCCCAGCCGACACUGCACGUGGUGGAGAAGAAGGGGUUGUGACAUCUCUCCUCUCUCCAUUUCCAGCUUGGAUAAUGCUUCAGCUGUUGCCACCACCAUGUCCCAACCAGGACUUCAUACCUUGCGCUUUCUCAGUCUCCUCAUUCUAUGCCAGAGUCUACUGAGCGCCGUCAGAUCUGCCCAGCUCCCUUGCACCUUUCUCCAUUGAUCCGCAAACUUACUUAUGCAGGUUGCAUCUUCCACAGUUGGCCAGGGCAACCAUUCCAGGUGCCCAGCAGAGCUGUGGGAACAGUGACAACUUGAGGGAGAGCUGAUCAGUCUGAGUCAGUUGUCUGGAAACCAGAGCCUGAGCUUAUCAGCCACCCCUCCUCUUCACACCCUGUGCUGAUGGAGCCUUCCCAGUGCCAGGACGGGAGGGAGAAAGUAAACAUAGUGGCUGUGGAAGGUGACCGUAUACAUUGGUACUUUUCCACGAGAGGAACCAUCCCAAAAUGAAAAAGCAAGCAGACCCUGGCACUGAAGGUUGUGGACAUUUCUAUCCUGCUGGGGGUGAUUUUCCUUGCUGCCUCUUGGAGAGGCCCCAUGUUCCUCCAGGUUCCUAUUGUCUGGAAGGCAGUGGAGCAUUCCACUAAUUCCUUUGGCUGCCUUUAUCACACACUCACACACACCUUUGGACUUGCCAUUUACGUCUGUUGCCUGUAAUUCCCAGUUUCCCAUUCCUGACAUGUUGCUCACUGUAAGGGGUUCCUUUUCCCUUUAAACUCUUAACCAGCGCUGAUUUUUUAUCUCGCUCUUUCUGGUUUGUGUACAUCAUACUGUAACAUGGGGAGAACACCAUGUCAUCAGUCAGCCCUCUUCAUUGUGAGUGUCCAUGAUGAACACUCAUCACUCAAGCUGACAAUUGCUUUAAGUAUAAAUGAAUUUUCUCAGAAAACGUGUUAUUUUACUGCUGGAUGAUGCUAUGUUCCAUUUGUGCAAUGUGCUCAACUGUGGGUCAGCGAUUACUCUUCAUUGCCAGAAUGAGAUGCCUGCCAGUAUGUUACACGUGGCAAGAAUCAUCAUUUACAAGGUGUUGGUUUCUUUCCCUUGCCUGCACAUGCUUGUUUUCUGUGGUAAUUUUUGAUUGCAAUCCUAAUAAAGAAUCAUAAUGAUGCCUAAAAAAUGUA